This 2633-nucleotide ribosomal RNA is filed under the name Spirosoma pollinicola. Its description in RNAcentral is "bacterial LSU rRNA". It matches the Rfam family "Bacterial large subunit ribosomal RNA". Lineage: Bacteria; Pseudomonadati; Bacteroidota; Cytophagia; Cytophagales; Cytophagaceae. The record is from RNAcentral.
ACACGCAGCAAAAGGGCGUCUGGGGGAUGCCUAAGGCUUCUGAUGGCGAUGAAGGACGUGGCAAGCGACGAAACAUUGCGGGGACCCGCUGGCAGGGGCUGAUCCGCAGGUGUCCGAAUGGGGCAACCCGGUGGUUUGAAGAACCAUCACUCUGUAAAGAGGGCAAACGCGGAGAACUGAAACAUCUAAGUACCCGCAGGAAGAGAAAACAAUUGUGAUUCCCUGAGUAGUGGCGAGCGAACGGGGAAGAGCCCAAACCAUCUACGUUACGGCGUAGGCGGGGUAGUAGGACCCGACAUCAAAUCAACAACCGAACACGAAUGACUUGGGAAAGUCAACCACAGGGGGUGAGAGUCCCGUAGUGGUCAGGGCGUUGAUGGGUUGGGGAUCCUGAGUAGGGGGGAACCGGAGAAAUUCCCUCUGAAUCGGCCGGCACCAUCCGGUAAGGCUAAAUACAAUCAGAAGACCGAUAGCGCAGAGUACCGUGAGGGAAAGGUGAAAAGUACGGGGAGUACCCGGGUGAAAUAGAUCCUGAAACCAGGCGCUUACAAGCGGUUGGAGCGUCCAGUGUGGCGUGACAGCGUGCCUUUUGCAUAAUGAGCCUACGAGUAACCGUCACUGGCGAGGUUAAUCUUUUUGAAAAGAGAAGCCGAAGCGAAAGCGAGUCUGAACAGGGCGUCUAGUCAGUGGGGGUUGACGCGAAACUUGGUGAUCUAUCCCUGGCCAGGCUGAAGGGGUGGUAACACACCGUGGAGGGCCGAACCGAUAAGCGUUGAAAAGCUUCCGGAUGAGCUGGGGAUAGGGGUGAAAGGCCAAUCAAACUGAGAAAUAGCUCGUACUCUCCGAAAUGUUUUUAGGAACAGCGUUACGUGUUACUGUCUGUGAGGUAGAGCGACCAACAGGAUGCGGGGGAGUCACAUCCUACCAACUUCUGAUGAACUCCGAAUGCGCAGAGAGGUGCGUGGCAGUGAGGGCUUGGGUGCUAAGGUCCAAGUCCGAGAGGGGAACAACCCAGACCAUCAGCUAAGGUCCCUAAGUGUGUGCUAAGUUGAACAAAGGCGGUCCGGCUGGGGGCGGGCGUCGAUAAUAAACGGGCAUCAAGCACAUCACCGAAGCUAUGGACCUAUACUUUGAGUAUAGUGUGGUAGGAGAGCAUUCCAUGGGGGGUGAAGUUGGGGCGUGAGCCCUGGUGGACCGCAUGGAAAAGCAAAUGUAGGCAUAAGUAACGAGAAUGAGGAUGAGAACUCCUCACACCGAAAAGCUAAGGUUUCCUCCGCGAUGGCAGUCAUCGGAGGGUUAGUCGGGGUCUAAGGAGCAGGCGAAGGCCGGGCUUUGAGGGGGAAGUGGUUAAUAUUCCACUACUAUCUACGCAGGCAAUAUCCAUGACGGAGUGCCGAAGGUGUUACGUCCUGACGGAAUAGGGCGUUGAGAUGAGGCUUCGGCUGAGUCUGGAUACCCGUACCGUAAACCGACACAGGUAGCUGGGAAGAAUAUUCUAAGGUGCGCGAAAGAAUCAUGGUUAAGGAACUCGGCAAAAUUACCCUGUAACUUCGGGAUAAGGGGGGCCUACUCCGCGAGGGGAGGCUGCAGAGAAGACGCCCAGGCGACUGUUUACCAAAAACACAGGACUCUGCCAAAAUGAAAGUUGACGCAUAGGGUCUGACACCUGCCCGGUGCUGGAAGGUUAAGGGGGGAGCUUAGUCGCAAGGCGAAGGUUUGAACUGAAGCCCCAGUAAACGGCGGCCGUAACUAUAACGGUCCUAAGGUAGCGAAAUUCCUUGUCGGGUAAGUUCCGACCUGCACGAAUGGUGUAACGAUCUGGGCACUGUCUCAACCAUGAGUUCGGUGAAAUUGUAGUAGCGGUGAAGAUGCCGCUUACCCGCCACGGGACGGAAAGACCCCGUGCACCUUUACUACAGCUUAACAUUGAAUGCCGGUCAGUCAUGUGUAGGAUAGGCGGGAGGAGUUGAAGUGGCGUCGCCAGGCGUCGUGGAUCCAACCUUGAAAUACCGCCCUUGGCUUACUGGCGUUCUAACUGGGAACAGGACGGUGUUUGGUGGGUAGUUUGACUGGGGUGGUCACCUCCGAAAGGGUAACGGAGGUUUCCCAAGGUUGGCUCAUACCGGACGGUAAUCGGUAGGGGAGUGCAAUAGCAGAAGCCAGCUUGACAGUGAGGCCUACAAGCCGAUCUGGGACGAAAGUCGGGUAUAGUGAUCCGGUGGUUCCGCAUGGAAGGGCCAUCGCUCAAAGGAUAAAAGGUACGCCGGGGAUAACAGGCUGAUCUCCCCCAAGAGCUCACAUCGACGGGGAGGUUUGGCACCUCGGGGUUCAGAACGUCGUGAGACAGUUCGGUCCCUAUCUGUGGUGGGCGUGGGAAUACUGACGGGAUCUGUCCUUAGUACGAGAGGACCGGGAUGGACUCACCGCUGGCGGAUCAGUUAUCAUGCCGGUGGUAUGGCUGAGUAGCUACGUGGGGAUCAGAUAAGCGCUGAAAGCAUCUAAGUGCGAAACUGGCCUGAAGAUGAGUGUUCCGGUAUAAAGGGGUGUUGGAGACGACGACGUUGAUAGGCGGCAGGUGUCAGCGGUGAGAGCCGUUUAGCCGAGCCGUACUAAUGGCCCCGGUCGCGUGUUUA